This 77-nucleotide transfer RNA is filed under the name Hahellaceae bacterium. Its description in RNAcentral is "tRNA-Pro". It matches the Rfam family "tRNA". From Rfam's summary of the family: Transfer RNA (tRNA) molecules are approximately 80 nucleotides in length. Their secondary structure includes four short double-helical elements and three loops (D, anti-codon, and T loops). Lineage: Bacteria; Pseudomonadati; Pseudomonadota; Gammaproteobacteria; Oceanospirillales; Hahellaceae. The record is from RNAcentral.
CGGGGCGUAGCGCAGUCUGGUAGCGUACAUGCAUGGGGUGCAUGUGGUCGCAGGUUCAAAUCCUGCCGUCCCGACCA